UUGGAUCGCAUGGUCAAAAGAGAAAAGGUGGCCUCUUAACAAAGCUGCCGCUUACAGAUGAAUCCGCGUCCCAUUAGCCAGUUGGUGGGGUAAAGGCCUACCAAAGCGACGAUGGGUAGCCGGCCUGAGAGGGUGACCGGCCACACUGGAACUGAGAUACGGUCCAGACUCCUACGGGAGGCAGCAGUGGGGAAUCUUCCGCAAUGGGCGAAAGCCUGACGGAGCAACGCCGCGUGAGCGAAGAAGGUCUUCGGAUUGUAAAGCUCUGUGAUAUUGGACGAAAAAAAUGACGGUACAAUAAGAGGAAGCCACGGCUAACUACGUGCCAGCAGCCGCGGUAAUACGUAGGUGGCAAACGUUGUCCGGAAUUACUGGGCGUAAAGGGCGAGUAGGUGGUUUGCUAAGUCAGAAGUGAAAACUCCGGGCUCAACUCGGAGACUGCUCCUGAAACUGGUAGACUUGAGUGCAAGAGAGGGAAGUGGAAUUCCUAGUGUAGCGGUGAAAUGCGUAGAUAUUAGGAGGAACACCAGUGGCGAAGGCGACUUCCUGGCUUGUAACUGACACUGAGGCGCGAAAGCGUGGGGAUCAAACAGGAUUAGAUACCCUGGUAGUCCACGCCGUAAACGAUGAGUGCUAGGUGUCGGGGGUAUCGACCCCCUCGGUGCCACAGCUAACGCAAUAAGCACUCCGCCUGGGGAGUACGGUCGCAAGACUGAAACUCAAAGGAAUUGACGGGGGCCCGCACAAGCGGUGGAGUAUGUGGUUUAAUUCGACGCAACGCGAAGAACCUUACCAAGGCUUGACAUCCCGUGACCGCUAUGGAAACAUGGUCUUUCGCCUUCGGGUGAACACGGAGACAGGUGGUGCAUGGUUGUCGUCAGCUCGUGUCGUGAGAUGUUGGGUUAAGUCCCGCAACGAGCGCAACCCCUGUGUUUAGUUGCUAACGCGUAGUGGCGAGCACUCUAGACAGACUGCCGGUGAUAAACCGGAGGAAGGUGGGGAUGACGUCAAAUCAUCAUGCCCCUUAUGUUCUGGGCUACACACGUGCUACAAUGGCCGGUACAGACGGAAGCGAAGCCGCGAGGUGAAGCAAAACCGAGAAAGCCGGUCUCAGUUCGGAUUGCAGGCUGCAACUCGCCUGCAUGAAGUCGGAAUCGCUAGUAAUCGCAGGUCAGCAUACUGCGGUGAAUACGUUCCCGGGCCUCGUACACACCGACCGUCACACCACGAAAGUCUGCAACACC
This 1244-nucleotide ribosomal RNA is filed under the name uncultured bacterium. RNAcentral describes it as "bacterial SSU rRNA". It matches the Rfam family "Bacterial small subunit ribosomal RNA", at positions 181 to 1421 of the family's 1533-position model. The record is from RNAcentral.